AUGUCUGUGAAACAAGCAAGAAGAAGCAAAGUUUGUAACCAUACAGCCAGAUCGACCCAGGAGACAGAGACAAGACAGAUGAGGGUCGAUCCAGCCGCCGCUGGCGACGAGGGGAUCGGUCGAUCCAGCCGACAUGGGCGAUUUGUCUGCCAGGGAGAAGGGAGAAGAGGCAAUCAUUCUUCAGUUUCUGUUCAGACAAUCAUAGCAGGUGAUGGGCCCGGUGAUGAUAGCGUUCUUCUGCAUGAACGUGAACCUGGUGUUUUUGAUGCGGAUGGUGAAACAGGCAACAGCCGCAUAACCAACAACACGAGCAAGUGA
This 318-nucleotide ribosomal RNA is filed under the name Triticum aestivum (bread wheat). RNAcentral's name for it is "partial small subunit ribosomal RNA". The record is from RNAcentral. Lineage: Eukaryota; Viridiplantae; Streptophyta; Magnoliopsida; Poales; Poaceae.